Strongylocentrotus purpuratus (purple sea urchin) is the source of this 236-nucleotide long non-coding RNA. RefSeq lists it as uncharacterized. The transcript is spliced from 3 exons. The record is from RefSeq and is a predicted model, not a curated record. NCBI's taxonomy places the organism in Eukaryota, Metazoa, Echinodermata, Echinoidea, Camarodonta, Strongylocentrotidae.
UUCAGCAGAGGCGAGAUUUGGUGAAUCAGUACGGAGCCACGCUGCACGUAGUGCAAUACUUAAUAACUACAGAAAAGCUUUAGCAGCAAUACGUGACGAGACGGCGCAGGCUAUACGUAUGUACGGCAUUUGCACCGACCGAAUAGACGACAUGAAAUUAAGACACAGAAGCAAGAUGGAGGAGGUUUCCAUGACUACCAACAGCAUCAAAAGUAGCAGAGUGCAACUCGUCCUCU